AGAGUUUGAUCCUGGCUCAGGAUGAACGCUAGCUACAGGCUUAACACAUGCAAGUCGAGGGGCAGCAUGGUCUUAGCUUGCUAAGACUGAUGGCGACCGGCGCACGGGUGAGUAACACGUAUCCAACCUGCCGUCUACUCUUGGACAGCCUUCUGAAAGGAAGAUUAAUACAAGAUGGCAUCAUGAGUCCGCAUGUUCACAUGAUUAAAGGUAUUCCGGUAGACGAUGGGGAUGCGUUCCAUUAGGUAGUUGGCGGGGUAACGGCCCACCUAGUCUUCGAUGGAUAGGGGUUCUGAGAGGAAGGUCCCCCACAUUGGAACUGAGACACGGUCCAAACUCCUACGGGAGGCAGCAGUGAGGAAUAUUGGUCAAUGGGCGAGAGCCUGAACCAGCCAAGUAGCGUGAAGGAUGACUGCCCUAUGGGUUGUAAACUUCUUUUAUAAAGGAAUAAAGUCGGGUAUGCAUACCCGUUUGCAUGUACUUUAUGAAUAAGGAUCGGCUAACUCCGUGCCAGCAGCCGCGGUAAUACGGAGGAUCCGAGCGUUAUCCGGAUUUAUUGGGUUUAAAGGGAGCGUAGAUGGAUGUUUAAGUCAGUUGUGAAAGUUUGCGGCUCAACCGUAAAAUUGCAGUUGAUACUGGAUAUCUUGAGUGCAGUUGAGGCAGGCGGAAUUCGUGGUGCAGCGGUGAAAUGCUUAGAUAUCACGAAGAACUCCGAUUGCGAAGGCAGCCUGCUAAGCUGCAACUGACAUUGAGGCUCGAAAGUGUGGGUAUCAAACAGGAUUAGAUACCCUGGUAGUCCACACGGUAAACGAUGAAUACUCGCUGUUUGCGAUAUACGGCAAGCGGCCAAGCGAAAGCGUUAAGUAUUCCACCUGGGGAGUACGCCGGCAACGGUGAAACUCAAAGGAAUUGACGGGGGCCCGCACAAGCGGAGGAACAUGUGGUUUAAUUCGAUGAUACGCGAGGAACCUUACCCGGGCUUAAAUUGCAGAUGAAUUACGGUGAAAGCCGUAAGCCGCAAGGCAUCUGUGAAGGUGCUGCAUGGUUGUCGUCAGCUCGUGCCGUGAGGUGUCGGCUUAAGUGCCAUAACGAGCGCAACCCUUGUUGUCAGUUACUAACAGGUUCUGCUGUGGACUCUGACAAGACUGCCAUCGUAAGAUGUAAGGAAGGUGGGGAUGACGUCAAAUCAGCACGGCCCUUACGUCCGGGGCUACACACGUGUUACAAUGGGGGGUACAGAGGGCCGCUACCACGCGAGUGGAUGCCAAUCCCCAAAACCUCUCUCAGUUCGGACUGGAGUCUGCAACCCGACUCCACGAAGCUGGAUUCGCUAGUAAUCGCGCAUCAGCCACGGCGCGGUGAAUACGUUCCCGGGCCUUGUACACACCGCCCGUCAAGCCAUGGGAGCCGGGGGUACCUGAAGUGCGUAACCGCGAGGAGCGCCCUAGGGUAAAACUGGUGACUGGGGCUAAGUCGUAACAAGGUA
This 1486-nucleotide ribosomal RNA is filed under the name metagenome. Its description in RNAcentral is "bacterial SSU rRNA". It matches the Rfam family "Bacterial small subunit ribosomal RNA". The record is from RNAcentral.